GAUGAAGAACGCAGCGAAAUGCGAUAAGUAGUGUGAAUUGCAGAAUUCAGUGAAUCAUCGAAUCUUUGAACGCACAUUGCGCCCUUUGGUAUUCCAAAGGGCAUGCCUGUUCGAGCGUCAUUUGUACCCUCAAGCUUUGCUUGGUGUUGGGCGUCUUGUCUCUAGCUUUGCUGGAGACUCGCCUUAAAGUAAUUGGCAGCCGGCCUACUGGUUUCGGAGCGCAGCACAAGUCGCACUCUCUAUCAGCAAAGGUCUAGCAUCCACUAAGCCUUUUUUUCAACUUUUGACCUCGGAUCAGGUAGGGAUACCCGCUGAACUUAAGCAUAUCAAUAAGCGGAGG
Molecule: unclassified non-coding RNA, 340 nt
Filed under: soil metagenome
Description: partial contains 5.8S ribosomal RNA, internal transcribed spacer 2, and large subunit ribosomal RNA
Rfam family: 5.8S ribosomal RNA (bases 1-120)
Source: RNAcentral